This 253-nucleotide ribosomal RNA is filed under the name uncultured bacterium. RNAcentral describes it as "partial 16S ribosomal RNA". It matches the Rfam family "Bacterial small subunit ribosomal RNA", at positions 524 to 776 of the family's 1533-position model. The record is from RNAcentral.
UACGUAGGGGGCAAGCGUUGUCCGGAUUUACUGGGCGUAAAGAGCGUGUAGGCGGCCAGGCAGGUCUGUUGUGAAAACUGGAGGCUUAACCUCCAGACGUCGACAGAAACCGUCUGGCUAGAGUCCGGAAGAGGAGAGUGGAAUUCCUGGUGUAGCGGUGAAAUGCGUAGAUAUCAGGAGGAACACCGAUGGCGAAGGCAGGUCUCUGGGCUGACACUGACGCUCAUGCACGAAAGCGUGGGGAGCAAACAGG